This 27-nucleotide unclassified non-coding RNA is filed under the name Mus musculus (house mouse). RNAcentral describes it as "oocyte_clustered_small_RNA1898". Lineage: Eukaryota; Metazoa; Chordata; Mammalia; Rodentia; Muridae. The record is from RNAcentral.
UGAGGGUCAUGAUUGGCCUCAGGAGGU